This is a long non-coding RNA of Microcebus murinus (gray mouse lemur), 3254 nucleotides long. RefSeq lists it as uncharacterized. The record is from RefSeq and is a predicted model, not a curated record. Lineage: Eukaryota; Metazoa; Chordata; Mammalia; Primates; Cheirogaleidae.
UGCAAAGCAGUGUAAUUGGUUUAAGCCCAGAAGCUAGGGAAAGAGGGAAAUGGGGUGGAGGGGUGUAACCCCCUUUGGAAAAAGAAAAAAGAAAAAUAGGCGGGGCCGGGCGGGCAGGCCCGGGCUCCGCUUGGGAACUGUGCCGGGGAAGAAGGCCAGGGGCGGUGGCAUCGGAGCCCUGCCUUAGAGACCGAGCGGACUAAAUGACCCCGGGGUACCUCCCCGGAGGCGCUCACCACCCUCCGGAGCCGGGCCGCGGCCCAGUCCCGCGCACCUCUUGCUCUUCUGCCUGCUCUCUGCCCCCUCCCUCCUGACUCCUGACCCAAAGUUCAACUCUGGGAGACUGGAGAAUACAGACUUUUUUUCCCCUUUCCUUUCUUUCCUGCUUGGGCUUCAAACUAGAAAAGGGAAAAAGCCCCACUUUUGCUUCGUCACUAGAAACCCGGUCAUCUGAGUCAGCCUAGCCGAGUGACGUUAGGCCGACCCGGGCUCCUGGCUAGCAGAGCGGAGGCCCUGCCACGAAACUCGUACCUGCGGCUAAGAGCAGGCUUCUUCAAAAAACCCAAGACUGGUGGUGCAGAGUGAACUCAGCCAGCUUCACAUCCUUGAUCCAGCUUGGAGGUUCCUGGGUCUGGGGCCCAGGAGAUUCCCACGAACACAGCGCCUCCUGUCGUGGAGAGGGAACGCUGGAUUCUUCCGCAGGCGUCUGCAGGGAGCUUCGCCAGGCGAGAAGGCCCUUACACUAUUGCAAAACUGCUUUGCGAAGACUGCUGCUCGUUUGGGGGAACUAGACCUGUCUUCAGCUCGGGGAGGCUAGGUGGACUGGGCCAGGGGAGCCGCGAGGACAACCACGUGUCGACUCCUGGGGAAUCCUGGGCCAAACUCGUGCGGGUGAGGACCGGUCUGUGGCGGCCUGGGGCGGCUCAGGUAGCAGCGAGGGCGGGCUUCUCCAGUGGAGGAGGCCGCGGCGGUCGGGACGGUAGGGAGCGCCGGUACUCCAGGUGGCCUUGGGAGGAAGAAGCAGCUCCGCCCUUCCCGGAAGCCGCGCCUGCGACCCGCGGGGGCCGCUCUCCGCGCAGUGCGGCUGUAGAAGAGGCGGCACACGGUCCACUGACCAAACUGGGCUGCCUCAGCUUAGCCUUCCCAGCAUGACCUGGCUGGGAGUCCCUUCGCAUAUAUUCACCGCGGAGGGAGACUCAGAGUGUGACUGCGAAGGGAAAGGCCACGGGCUCGUGCUCGGGCCCAGCCGGUGGCCUCUCGCGGCGACGAGGGCCUUCCAGUUUACCUGGGCCGCAGGCUGGGCCGAGAGCAGGGCCCGCGGCGGCGGGACUCCGCCGUGCCCACUGGCGUCUCUGGAGGGCUUCUCACUCUGGCUCUCUAGACCGCCCCUUUUCUUGCCCACCCUCUUUCCCCGACGGGGCUGUUGUCAGUCACUGCCUCCCUGGGUCCGCCACGCUCGGUGUGGGGUGGUCCGAGCUCGCCCCCACCCUUCGCCCAGAUAAGGAGCUGAAGUCCUCUUUCCUGCGGGGGAGAGUCGUCGUGCGCAACGAAACUAAGAUUCAUUUUAGUUUUAACGCAAUUCAAAGCCGAUUGACAGCUUAGGAGUAAGGAAGGCCUGGACGCUGGAAGCAGCUGUCCGCACUUGCGCGUGCGGGGCCUUCCAGCUGGAGGUGUGCGCGGGCCGGACGAGGCCUGGGCGCGCGAGAGGACGGCCCAGCGCCUGCCCUCUGCAUCCCGCCCACAACCGCAGGAGGCGCGGCGGCCAGGCCCGCGCGGCCCCCGCUGCCCCGACCGGACUGGACUGGGGCGCUGGAGCUGAGAGAGGAGAAGCGUGGAUGGGCUUGGCCAGCGUUCGAGCUCCUGUUCCUCCGCUGCCUUUUUCUUUUCAUUUUUCUUUCCUCAUACCUUCCUUGCUCUCUCCCUUCCAUCAUUAAAUCACUUAAUUCCCAACUCACAAGGCAUCUGACCCCCAGUAGGUAGGGGUCCUGGGACCACCUGACCGGCCGCUACUUUUCCUGACCCAUCCCUGACUCUGUGUGUGUGUAUGUGUGUGUGUGUGUGUGUGUGGUGUGAAACCAACAUAUAUACAUACCCAGGACCUUCCCUUAUGUUGAAGCAAGCAAACAAAAACAGCCACUGUUUGUCUUUUCCCCUACUGCUCCCUAAGCCGCCGCCGGGUUUCUGAGCGGCCCGGGGCGCCAGCUUGGCUCUACUGCAGCCGGAUGUCAGAGCCGGAGCUGCUCCCCACCCAGCCUCGCCCGCAGGCGACAAAACGGUCUCACUGGCCGUGAGAGAGCUUCGUGUUGCCAAAAUCAACUCGCAUUUUCAUGUAUUCAAAUGAGAAAGGUUGGGAAGGGAGACUUGUCCUCCUGGGCAAUCAACAGCCUUGGAAGGAAGAAGUGCCCCAUCAGUCACCGCUGGAGGGAACUUCCCUCCCUCGAGGCCCCGGGAGCUGAUACUGCGCCCCCGCCUGCACCUGGGCCACCAAGGCGGUAGCGCAUCUCCUGGCGGCUUUGUCCCCCAGAGUUACCAAAUGCUUUAUUCACGUCGGUAAGCGCCAGCUGGAGAACGUGCUGGGCCCCAGCGGUCCCCCUCCUGGGGAAAGCGGGCUCCACUGCAGUGAUGCUCACACCAUCCUCUGGCUUUCCCCCUCUCUUUAAAAGCCCCUAGGGUUGGAGACCUAGGGGAGGGAAUGGAAAUGCAGGCUUCACACACAGUCCUGAGUUAGAGACGGGGACCAGAGCGGAUGAGGCCCUACUGUGUGCCACAGACUGGGUGGGGAGCUUGGGGAUCCCCCAUCUCUCCACCUGCAGAGGCAGUGUGCGAAAGCUGGGAGGCGGGAAGCCUGGGCGACGGUAGGUCAGGAGCUCCACUCCACCCCAACGCAGAAGUCAGAGCUAAUGGGGAGCAGUGAUUGCAGCUGAGGGCUUGGAAAAGUCAACGAAUUUCAUCUCUUGCCCAGAAGCUGGCAGCUUAAACCUAAAUCCUUCUAGAAUGGUCGAUCAGAGUUUAGCUUCCCCGUCAGGGCCAACCAGACAGACCCCUCAGAUCCUCCCGCAGCCCACCCCCUGCCCGCCCUCCCCAGACACCCAAGAGCUUUCCCACAGUCCCUCCGUUGUCCCUAGUGGUUUAACUUUGGCUAUUCAAAUGCGAUUACCCUCAAAUUUUCAUAGUUCUAUUUAACAGACGCUUUAGUAACAAUCGUAUAAAUCAUGCACUACACACUUGGAAAGAAAAUAAACUGUACAAAUGCA